Molecule: ribosomal RNA, 235 nt
Filed under: uncultured Actinomycetales bacterium
Lineage: Bacteria; Bacillati; Actinomycetota; Actinomycetes; Actinomycetales
Description: partial 16S ribosomal RNA
Rfam family: Bacterial small subunit ribosomal RNA
Source: RNAcentral
UGGCGAACGGGUGAGUAACACGUGGGUGAUCUGCCCUGCACUCUGGGAUAAGCCUGGGAAACUGGGUCUAAUACCGGAUAGGACCAUGCUUUAGUGUGUGUGGUGGAAAGUUUUUUCGGUGUAGGAUGAGCCCGCGGCCUAUCAGCUUGUUGGUGGGGUAAUGGCCUACCAAGGCGGCGACGGGUAGCCGGCCUGAGAGGGUGUACGGCCACAUUGGGACUGAGAUACGGCCCAG